Non-coding RNA from Schistosoma mansoni, 46 nucleotides. The record is from Rfam. NCBI's taxonomy places the organism in Eukaryota, Metazoa, Platyhelminthes, Trematoda, Strigeidida, Schistosomatidae.
GCACUGCUGAGAAGUGCCAUAAUAGGACGAAACGGCCGUCCAGUGC